UCCUACGGGGGGCAGCAGUGGGGAAUAUUGCACAAUGGGGGAAACCCUGAUGCAGCGAUGCCGCGUGGAGGAAGAAGGUUUUCGGAUUGUAAACUCCGUUUAUCAGGGACGAUAAUGACGGUACCUGAAGAAAAAGCUCCGGCUAACUACGUGCCAGCAGCCGCGGUAAUACGUAGGGAGCGAGCGUUAUCCGGAUUUAUUGGGUUUAAAGGGUGCGUAGGCGGAGUGUCAAGUCAGCGGUAAAAUUUCGGGGCUCAACCCCGUCGUGCCGUUGAAACUGACGCCCUUGAGUGAGUGAGAAGUAA
RNAcentral lists this ribosomal RNA (305 nucleotides) under uncultured bacterium. RNAcentral's name for it is "bacterial SSU rRNA". It matches the Rfam family "Bacterial small subunit ribosomal RNA", at positions 337 to 660 of the family's 1533-position model. The record is from RNAcentral.